UACGUGGGGGGCAAGCGUUGUCCGGAUUCAUUGGGCGUAAAGGGUGCGUAGGCGGCGCGGUAAGUCGGGUGUGAAAUCUCGGAGCUUAACUCCGAAACUGCAUUCGAUACUGCCGUGCUUGAGGACUGGAGAGGAGACUGGAAUUUACGGUGUAGCGGUGAAAUGCGUAGAUAUCGUAAGGAAGACCAGUGGCGAAGGCGGGUCUCUGGACAGUUCCUGACGCUGAGGCACGAAGGUCAGGGGAGCAAACGGG
Molecule: ribosomal RNA, 253 nt
Filed under: uncultured bacterium
Lineage: Bacteria
Description: partial 16S ribosomal RNA
Rfam family: Bacterial small subunit ribosomal RNA
Source: RNAcentral